UUGGCGGCGUGCUUAACACAUGCAAGUCGAACGGAAAGGCCCUGCUUUUGUGGGGUGCUCGAGUGGCGAACGGGUGAGUAACACGUGAGUAACCUGCCCUUGACUUUGGGAUAACUUCAGGAAACUGGGGCUAAUACCGGAUAGGAGCUCCUGCUGCAUGGUGGGGGUUGGAAAGUUUCGGCGGUUGGGGAUGGACUCGCGGCUUAUCAGCUUGUUGGUGGGGUAGUGGCUUACCAAGGCUUUGACGGGUAGCCGGCCUGAGAGGGUGACCGACCACAUUGGGACUGAGAUACGGCCCAGACUCCUACGGGAGGCAGCAGUGGGGAAUAUUGCACAAUGGGCGGAAGCCUGAUGCAGCAACGCCGCGUGCGGGAUGACGGCCUUCGGGUUGUAAACCGCUUUCGCCUGUGACGAAGCGUGAGUGACGGUAAUGGGUAAAGAAGCACCGGCUAACUACGUGCCAGCAGCCGCGGUGAUACGUAGGGUGCGAGCGUUGUCCGGAUUUAUUGGGCGUAAAGGGCUCGUAGGUGGUUGAUCGCGUCGGAAGUGUAAUCUUGGGGCUUAACCCUGAGCGUGCUUUCGAUACGGGUUGACUUGAGGAAGGUAGGGGAGAAUGGAAUUCCUGGUGGAGCGGUGGAAUGCGCAGAUAUCAGGAGGAACACCAGUGGCGAAGGCGGUUCUCUGGGCCUUUCCUGACGCUGAGGAGCGAAAGCGUGGGGAGCGAACAGGCUUAGAUACCCUGGUAGUCCACGCUGUAAACGGUGGGUACUAGGUGUGGGGUCCAUUCCACGGGUUCCGUGCCGUAGCUAACGCUUUAAGUACCCCGCCUGGGGAGUACGGCCGCAAGGCUAAAACUCAAAGGAAUUGACGGGGCCCCGCACAAGCGGCGGAGCAUGCGGAUUAAUUCGAUGCAACGCGUAGAACCUUACCUGGGUUUGACAUGGAUCGGGAGUGCUCAGAGAUGGGUGUGCCUCUUUUGGGGUCGGUUCACAGGUGGUGCAUGGCUGUCGUCAGCUCGUGUCGUGAGAUGUUGGGUUAAGUCCCGCAACGAGCGCAACCCUUGUUCACUGUUGCCAGCACGUUAUGGUGGGGACUCAGUGGAGACCGCCGGGGUCAACUCGGAGGAAGGUGGGGAUGACGUCAAGUCAUCAUGCCCCUUAUGUCCAGGGCUUCACGCAUGCUACAAUGGCUGGUACAGAGAGUGGCGAGCCUGUGAGGGUGAGCGAAUCUCGGAAAGCCGGUCUCAGUUCGGAUUGGGGUCUGCAACUCGACCUCAUGAAGUCGGAGUCGCUAGUAAUCGCAGAUCAGCAACGCUGCGGUGAAUACGUUCCCGGGGCUUGUACACACCGCCCGUCAAGUCAUGAAAGUUGGUAACACCCGAAGCCGGUGGCCUAACCGUUGUGGGGGAGCCGUCGAAGGUGGGACUGGUGAUUAG
This 1435-nucleotide ribosomal RNA is filed under the name uncultured organism. RNAcentral describes it as "partial small subunit ribosomal RNA". It matches the Rfam family "Bacterial small subunit ribosomal RNA". The record is from RNAcentral.